RNAcentral lists this ribosomal RNA (497 nucleotides) under uncultured bacterium. RNAcentral describes it as "partial 16S ribosomal RNA". It matches the Rfam family "Bacterial small subunit ribosomal RNA", at positions 28 to 507 of the family's 1533-position model. The record is from RNAcentral.
GACGAACGCUGGCGGCGUGCCUAAUACAUGCAAGUAGAACGCUGAAGAGAGGAGCUUGCUCUUCUUGGAUGAGUUGCGAACGGGUGAGUAACGCGUAGGUAACCUGCCUUGUAGCGGGGGAUAACUAUUGGAAACGAUAGCUAAUACCGCAUAACAAUGGAUGACACAUGUCAUUUAUUUGAAAGGGGCAAUUGCUCCACUACAAGAUGGACCUGCGUUGUAUUAGCUAGUAGGUGAGGUAAUGGCUCACCUAGGCGACGAUACAUAGCCGACCUGAGAGGGUGAUCGGCCACACUGGGACUGAGACAUGGCCCAGACUCCUACGGGAGGCAGCAGUAGGGAAUCUUCGGCAAUGGGGGCAACCCUGACCGAGCAACGCCGCGUGAGUGAAGAGGGUUUUCGGAUCGUAAAGCUCUGUUGUAAGUCAAGAACGGGUGUGAGAGUGGAAAGUUCACACUGUGACGGUAGCUUACCAGAAAGGGACGGCUAACUACGUG